This 1281-nucleotide ribosomal RNA is filed under the name Triticum aestivum (bread wheat). Its description in RNAcentral is "partial small subunit ribosomal RNA". Lineage: Eukaryota; Viridiplantae; Streptophyta; Magnoliopsida; Poales; Poaceae. The record is from RNAcentral.
AUGUCCUGGCGGUGGGCUCUGGCGCGUCGCGUCGCCACGCUCGUCGGCGGCGGCACCGGCGGCCCAGGCGCCGCCCAGGCGCAGAGGCUCUUCUCCUCGUCGGGCGCCCUCCUGGGGAGGCUCCCUCCCGCGCCGCCCCAGAUUCGGAACAAGGUGGUGGGUUGCAGAGGAGCUGCUUUCGUGAACUCGCGAUGGCUGCAUGAUGCCACCCAAUGCCAGACUCGCCAGGAUGGGGUAUCGAGGGCCGAAGAACAACAGGAUCCAUUUGAAUUGGUUGCUGAUGAACUAUCGAUUCUUGGAAAUAGACUACGAUCCAUGGUGGUUGCUGAGGUCCCUAAACUAGAAUCAGCUGCUGAAUAUUUUUUUAAAGUAGGAGCUGAGGGAAAAAGAUUCCGACCUACGGUUUUAUUGCUUAUGGCAUCAGCUCUGAAAUUCCCAAUACCAGAAUCGACAGAUGUUGGAGUUUUCAGUAUAUUGGCAAGUAAGCUGCGCACACGGCAGCAAAACAUUGCCGAGAUAACUGAAAUGAUCCAUGUCGCAAGUCUUCUGCAUGAUGAUGUUCUGGAUGAUGCUGACACUAGGCGAGGUGUCACUUCAUUGAAUUGCAUUAUGGGCAACAAGCUUUCUGUUUUGGCUGGUGACUUUCUCCUGUCCAGAGCAUGUGUGGCACUUGCAGCACUUGGGAAUACAGAGGUGGUAUCUCUUAUGGCAACUGCAGUUGGACAUCUAGUUACUGGUGAAACUAUGCAAAUGUCAACAAGCAGAGAGCAACGGCGAAGUAUGGAGUACUACUUGCAGAAGACGUACUACAAAACAGCAUCAUUGAUAUCAAACAGUUGCAAGGCUGUUGCUAUUCUUGCAGGGCACACUGCUGAGGUUUCAGUGCUUGCAUACGAAUAUGGUCGAAACCUGGGUCUAGCCUUCCAGUUGAUCGACGAUGUUCUUGAUUUCACAGGAACCUCUGCAUCACUUGGGAAGGGUUCAUUAUCUGAUAUUCGUCAUGGAAUCAUUACUGCUCCAAUGCUAUAUGCGAUGGAAGAAUUCCCACAACUACAAGAUGUCGUUGACCACGGUUUUGACAAUCCUGCAAAUGUUGAAAUCGCCUUGGACUACCUUCAGAAGAGCCGGGGAAUCGAAAGAACAAAAGAACUUGCGCAAGAACACGUUAACCUUGCGGUCAAAGCCAUCGAAGCUCUCCCGGACAGCGACGAUGAAGAUGUUCUGAUUUCAAGGCGCGCUCUCAUUGAUAUCACACAGAGAGUCAUCACGAGGACAAAAUAG